Molecule: ribosomal RNA, 274 nt
Filed under: uncultured bacterium
Lineage: Bacteria
Description: partial 16S ribosomal RNA
Rfam family: Bacterial small subunit ribosomal RNA
Source: RNAcentral
AUACGGAGGGUGCAAGCGUUACUCGGAAUCACUGGGCGUAAAGCGCGCGCAGGCGGAUUGGCAAGUUGGAUGUGAAAGCCUGCGGCUCAACCGCAGAACUGCAUCCAAAACUGUCAGUCUAGAGUCUGGGAGAGGUAGCUGGAAUUAGUGGUGUAGGGGUAAAAUCCGUAGAGAUCACUAGGAAUACCGAAAGCGAAGGCGAGCUACUGGAACAGUACUGACGCUGAGGCGCGAAAGCGUGGGGAGCAAACAGGAUUAGAUACCCUAGUAGUCC